This 484-nucleotide ribosomal RNA is filed under the name uncultured bacterium. Its description in RNAcentral is "partial 16S ribosomal RNA". It matches the Rfam family "Bacterial small subunit ribosomal RNA", at positions 30 to 507 of the family's 1533-position model. The record is from RNAcentral.
AUUGAACGCUGGCGGCAGGCCUAACACAUGCAAGUCGAGCGGAUGAAGGGAGCUUGCUCCUGGAUUCAGCGGCGGACGGGUGAGUAAUGCCUAGGAAUCUGCCUGGUAGUGGGGGAUAACGUCCGGAAACGGGCGCUAAUACCGCAUACGUCCUGAGGGAGAAAGUGGGGGAUCUUCGGACCUCACGCUAUCAGAUGAGCCUAGGUCGGAUUAGCUAGUUGGUGGGGUAAAGGCCUACCAAGGCGACGAUCCGUAACUGGUCUGAGAGGAUGAUCAGUCACACUGGAACUGAGACACGGUCCAGACUCCUACGGGAGGCAGCAGUGGGGAAUAUUGGACAAUGGGCGAAAGCCUGAUGCAGCCAUGCCGCGUGUGUGAAGAAGGUCUUCGGAUUGUAAAGCACUUUAAGUUGGGAGGAAGGUCAGUAAGUUAAUACCUUGCUGUUUUGACGUUACCAACAGAAUAAGCACCGGCUAACUUCGUG